This 253-nucleotide ribosomal RNA is filed under the name uncultured bacterium. Its description in RNAcentral is "partial 16S ribosomal RNA". It matches the Rfam family "Bacterial small subunit ribosomal RNA", at positions 524 to 776 of the family's 1533-position model. The record is from RNAcentral.
UACGUAGGGUGCGAGCGUUAAUCGGAAUUACUGGGCGUAAAGCGUGCGCAGGCGGUCUUGCAAGACAGAUGUGAAAUCCCCGGGCUCAACCUGGGAACUGCAUUUGUGACUGCAAGGCUAGAGUACGGCAGAGGGGGAUGGAAUUCCGCGUGUAGCAGUGAAAUGCGUAGAUAUGCGGAGGAACACCGAUGGCGAAGGCAAUCCCCUGGGCCUGUACUGACGCUCAUGCACGAAAGCGUGGGGAGCAAACAGG